UCGGGUGUGGUGUAUGGCACAUCCUCCCUCCCACUUAUUUGUUAGCUAGGUUGAUGGGAAAGACCCGGGUUCGAUUCCCGGCGCCCGAA
This is a non-coding RNA of Mycena galericulata, 89 nucleotides long. Lineage: Eukaryota; Fungi; Basidiomycota; Agaricomycetes; Agaricales; Mycenaceae. The record is from the annotation of a GenBank genome assembly.